Podarcis raffonei (Aeolian wall lizard) is the source of this 1993-nucleotide RNA transcript. It is a transcript of the gene named methyltransferase 22, Kin17 lysine, with no coding region annotated. The record is from RefSeq and is a predicted model, not a curated record. The transcript has 12 exons. NCBI's taxonomy places the organism in Eukaryota, Metazoa, Chordata, Lepidosauria, Squamata, Lacertidae.
CUACGGGAAACAGCGCGCCGGAAGUCGGGGAGAAGGGCGGAAGCGGCUGAGGGCAAAAUGCAAAAUGGCAGCAGCGGCGUCAACGAAGCUGCCGCGAGAGGGGAGAUGUCCCUUCAGCAGUGCACCAUACAAGGUGCAGGGGAGAGAGAGGUGAUGGAUGACAUCAUCUUCCGAAGUGACACUGUCCUAUCUGAUGUCCACCUACACACCCCAAGCAAAAGGCAUUUAAUGGUCAGGCUGAAUGCUGUCGGACAGCCAGUGUUUCUCUCACAGUUCAAAUUCCUUUUGGACAAAAGCAAUCAGAAGACUGAGAGGGAAGUGAGUGGCUUUGAAAAAGAAAACUUUAAACACCAGGACAAACGUGGAGAGGGAUUAGAUGUGGAGGAUCCUGCUGAUGACCACGUUACUCUGAAAAGCACUAACAAGGAAGAGAACUCUUUGAAAGGAAUUCAAGCUUUGUUAGACAAAGAUGGGGAUUUGGAGGUUGUCCGGAAGCCUCCGUUACUUGAUGCAGAAGCUGAAGAUCUUUCAAGGGACAAAGUGUGCCCCAUCAUUUUGAUGAAAGGUGGAGAAGUCUUGGAAGAACAAGAGCAAGAAAACAAUUGCUAUGAUAUUAUUAAAAUAGAGCACGCCAUGGCAACCCCUUUAGAGGAUGUUGGCAAACAGGUCUGGCGAGGAGCCUUCUUACUUGCAGACUACAUCCUCUCCAAGCAAGAUUUCUUUAAGGACUGCACAGUGCUGGAGCUUGGGGGCGGCACCGGAAUUGUCAGUAUCAUCAUGGCAAAGGCAGCCAAGGCCAUUUAUUGCACAGAUAUUGGUGAAGAUCUCCUGGAAAUGUGUGAACGAAAUAUUACAUUAAACAAGCACCUUACUGAGCCAGCAGGAACUAAGAUUAAGGUCAGAGUGCUGGACUGGCUUAAAGAUGAGUUCUGUAUUGAUCCUGAUCAUUCCUACAGCUGGUCUGAAGAAGAGAUUGCAGAGCUUCACGAUUUCACCACUGUGAUCCUAGCUGCUGAUGUAUUUUAUGACGAUGAUCUAACAGAUGCCUUUUUCAAAACGCUGUAUCGAAUCACUGGGAACUUGAAAAACUCCUCCACCAUCUACUUGUCAAUAGAAAAGAGGCUCAACUUCACCUUAAGACACAUGGAUGUUGUAUGUGAAGCAUACAAUUACUUUCGAAGCACCUUGAAUGAUCUAGAAAAUAUCAGAGAUGGCAAAAUGAGAUAUACUGUUCAGCCUGUCCAACUCUCCUUUCCUCAACAUAUUAUUUAUGAGCGGGUUGAACAAUUGGAGUUAUGGAAGAUUACAGCUGACAUGACCACUGAAAGAAGCACACACACACACACACACCUCCCUGAGAGAUUGAAAACCGGACAUGGGGACUUCAGUACAGAAUAAUUUCCCUGUAGGGUUCUGUCUGAAAUAAUUAUCUGAAUGGAGCCGGGACCCAAACAGAUCCUGGCGUGGAGAAGUCCAAGAAGUUCCAGUCCCUAGGUACCAGUCAACCUGCUCAUCUCAUUUCUGAGAAUUCGCUGCUCAUUACCUACCUUUGGAGACACUCAGCAUACUGAUUUCUAUGUCCAGGAACAAAUUCCUGUGCAGUGAAGCAGCCCGCCCUGGGCAGACAGACCACAGGGACUCUCCUUCACAGGAAUCCUGCUUCGGAGAAAUGGGGCUGUAAGUGAGCAGUACACUGUGGAGAAUCAAGAGGCUCGAUCCAUAUACCUUAGAGCCUGCCAGCAGAGUUGAAGACGAAAAACUGGUGAAGCGCCCUCAAGGGUUGGGAAAUCAGGAACUGGUAUGAACAACGUUGGACUUGUAAUGGUAGUGGAGCAGAAACCAGGUUCCAAUUCAAACUGAGCCAUGAAAUUUGGGCCAGUCAUUCUCUCUCAGACUAACCUACCUCACAGGGUGGUUGUGAAGAUAGUGUUGGCUGUGUGUGUGAGAGAGAGAGAAUGAUGUACAAUGCCUUGAACUCCUUUUAGCAAAGAGC